RNAcentral lists this ribosomal RNA (686 nucleotides) under Rhodococcus sp. (in: high G+C Gram-positive bacteria). Its description in RNAcentral is "bacterial SSU rRNA". It matches the Rfam family "Bacterial small subunit ribosomal RNA", at positions 51 to 757 of the family's 1533-position model. The record is from RNAcentral. Lineage: Bacteria; Bacillati; Actinomycetota; Actinomycetes; Mycobacteriales; Nocardiaceae.
UAMCAUGCAGUCGAGCGGUAAGGCCCUUCGGGGUACACGAGCGGCGAACGGGUGAGUAACACGUGGGUGAUCUGCCCUGCACUUCGGGAUAAGCCUGGGAAACUGGGUCUAAUACCGGAUAUGACCUCUGGGUGCAUGCCUGGGGGUGGAAAGGUUUACUGGUGCAGGAUGGGCCCGCGGCCUAUCAGCUUGUUGGUGGGGUAAUGGCCUACCAAGGCGACGACGGGUAGCCGGCCUGAGAGGGCGACCGGCCACACUGGGACUGAGACACGGCCCAGACUCCUACGGGAGGCAGCAGUGGGGAAUAUUGCACAAUGGGCGAAAGCCUGAUGCAGCGACGCCGCGUGAGGGAUGACGGCCUUCGGGUUGUAAACCUCUUUCAGCAGGGACGAAGCGAGAGUGACGGUACCUGCAGAAGAAGCACCGGCCAACUACGUGCCAGCAGCCGCGGUAAUACGUAGGGUGCGAGCGUUGUCCGGAAUUACUGGGCGUAAAGAGCUCGUAGGCGGUUUGUCGCGUCGUCUGUGAAAACCAGCAGCUCAACUGCUGGCUUGCAGGCGAUACGGGCAGACUUGAGUACUGCAGGGGAGACUGGAAUUCCUGGUGUAGCGGUGAAAUGCGCAGAUAUCAGGAGGAACACCGGUGGCGAAGGCGGGUCUCUGGCAGUACUGACGCUGAGGAGCGAA